Molecule: ribosomal RNA, 253 nt
Filed under: uncultured bacterium
Lineage: Bacteria
Description: partial 16S ribosomal RNA
Rfam family: Bacterial small subunit ribosomal RNA
Source: RNAcentral
UACAGAGGUCUCAAGCGUUGUUCGGAUUCAUUGGGCGUAAAGGGUGCGUAGGUGGCGCGCUAAAUCAGGUGUGAAAUCUCGGGGCUUAACUCCGAAACUGCAUUUGAUACUGGCGUGCUUGAGGACUGGAGAGGAGACUGGAAUUCAUGGUGUAGCAGUGAAAUGCGUAGAGAUCAUGAGGAAGACCAGUGGCGAAGGCGGGUCUCUGGACAGUUCCUGACACUGAGGCACGAAGGCCAGGGGAGCAAACGGG